GGUGUUUGGAGUGAAGGCUGUUCCAAGAUCAACACCAGAUAGUUCCAUAAGUUUGCAUUUUCUUGAUUAAUGGAAUUAAUGGUCUCGGACCAGGCUUCAUUCCUCACGCU
This 110-nucleotide microRNA precursor is filed under the name Olea europaea subsp. europaea. Lineage: Eukaryota; Viridiplantae; Streptophyta; Magnoliopsida; Lamiales; Oleaceae. The record is from RNAcentral.